RNAcentral lists this ribosomal RNA (253 nucleotides) under uncultured bacterium. Its description in RNAcentral is "partial 16S ribosomal RNA". It matches the Rfam family "Bacterial small subunit ribosomal RNA", at positions 524 to 776 of the family's 1533-position model. The record is from RNAcentral.
UACAGAGGUCUCAAGCGUUGUUCGGAUUCAUUGGGCGUAAAGGGUGCGUAGGCGGCGCGGUAAGUCGGGUGUGAAAUCUCGGAGCUUAACUCCGAAACUGCAUUCGAUACUGCCGUGCUUGAGGACUGGAGAGGAGACUGGAAUUUACGGUGUAGCGGUGAAAUGCGUAGAUAUCGUAAGGAAGACCAGUGGCGAAGGCGGGUCUCUGGACAGUUCCUGACGCUGAGGUGCGAGAGCGUGGGGAGCGAACCGG